AGCAGUCGCGGUAAUUCCAGCUCCAAUAGCGUAUAUUAAAGUUGUUGCAGUUAAAAAGCUCGUAGUUGAAUUUCGGGAUCAAUAUGUUGGUCGUGCCUUGGUACGUACUGGCAUUAUCGAUUCCUACCUUCUGAAGAACCUCGAUGUCAUUAAUUUGGUGUCUUGGGGAAUCAGGACUGUUACUUUGAAAAAUUAGAGUGUUUAAAGCAGGCUCGCGCUUGAAUACAUUAGCAUGGAAUAAUGAAAUAGGACGUUUGAUUCUAUUUUGUUGGUUUCUAGGAUCGACGUAAUGAUUAAUAGGGAUAGUUGGGGGCAUUAGUAUUCAAUUGUCAGAGGUGAAAUUCUUGGAUUUAUUGAAGACUAACUACUGCGAAAGCAUUUGCCAAGGAUGUUUUCAUUAAUCAAGAACGAAAGUUAGGGGAUCGAAGACGAUCAGAUACCGUCGUAGUCUUAACCAUAAACUAUGCCGACUAGGGAUCGGAUGAUGUUUAAUUUUUAAUGACUCA
RNAcentral lists this ribosomal RNA (506 nucleotides) under uncultured Glomeraceae. RNAcentral describes it as "SSU rRNA". It matches the Rfam family "Eukaryotic small subunit ribosomal RNA", at positions 569 to 1078 of the family's 1831-position model. The record is from RNAcentral. Lineage: Eukaryota; Fungi; Glomeromycota; Glomeromycetes; Glomerales; Glomeraceae.